This 670-nucleotide ribosomal RNA is filed under the name Meloidogyne incognita (southern root-knot nematode). Its description in RNAcentral is "partial small subunit ribosomal RNA". The stretch from base 595 to 670 matches the Rfam family "Eukaryotic small subunit ribosomal RNA", at positions 1 to 76 of the family's 1831-position model. The record is from RNAcentral. Lineage: Eukaryota; Metazoa; Nematoda; Chromadorea; Rhabditida; Meloidogynidae.
GACGGGAUGGCGUGCUUUCAACGCGGUAUGGUCGUAAUCAAUGGGUUGUCAAUUUCUUAAUAUUUAAAACAAAUUUCGCUGAGGAAAGUGGGCGUGGAUUUCGAUGUUCGCUGUUCGCGGGAAUGGUUUAAAGGAAAACUCAAAUUGGGCUAAUCUAGAAACUCGUGGAGAGAAAUAAUAGGAUUAAAAAAUUUUUUGAAAAAUUUAAAGUUUAUUAUUAUAAUAAGCUUUGUUUUUUGAAGAAUAAAGUUUAUUGUUAUUUAUUUUUUAAAACUUUUAAAGUUUAUAAAAUUAAACUUAUAACAAUAAACUUCUAACAAUCCUUUAUUGACUCUCGCUGCAAAAUUAAUUUGGCUUCUGGCAAUUGUCAGGAAUUUAGCCGAAUAUAACUUUUGUGAAUUUAUAAUUAUAAUUAAUUAUUUACAUUCUUUUGCAAAGGAUAUUUAGUAUGUUAUCAGCUGUCAUUAAUUUUUAAUUUUCGACUUUUAUUUCGGGAUUUUGAAUUCUAAAAUUAUCAAUGUAAUCAUUAUUAAUGACAGCUUAAUUACCAGCAGUCUCGGUAAUUCAAGCUUUGCUAAAUACCUAAAUAAAAGAUAUCUGGUUGAUCCUGCCUGAACUGAUGUGUUUAUUUCAAAGAUUAAGCCAUGCAUGUAUAAGUUUAAUCGUUUAU